UUAAGUUAAUAAGGGCGCACGGUGGAUGCCUUGGCACUAGGAGCCGACGAAGGACGUGACAAACGACGAUAUGCCUUGGGUAGCUGUAAGUAAGCGAUGAUCCAGGGAUUUCCGAAUGGGGGAACCCAACAGGUAAUACCUGUUACCCACAUCUGUUAAGGAUGUGAGGAGGAAGACGCAGUGAACUGAAACAUCUAAGUAGCUGCAGGAAGAGAAAGCAAAAGCGAUUGCCUUAGUAGCGGCGAGCGAAACGGCAGAAGGGCAAACCGAAGAGUUUACUCUUCGGGGUUGUAGGACUGCAAUGUGGACUCAAAGAUUAUAGAAGAAUGAUUUGGGAAGAUCAGCCAAAGAGAGUAAUAGCCUCGUAUUUAAAAUAGUCUUUGUACCUAGCAGUAUCCUGAGUACGGCGGGACACGUGAAAUCCCGUCGGAAUCUGGGAGGACCAUCUCCCAACCCUAAAUACUCCCUAGUGACCGAUAGUGAACCAGUACCGUGAGGGAAAGGUGAAAAGCACCCCGGGAGGGGAGUGAAAUAGAACCUGAAACCGUGUGCCUACAACAAGUUCGAGCCCGUUAAUGGGUGAGAGCGUGCCUUUUGUAGAAUGAACCGGCGAGUUACGUUAUGAUGCGAGGUUAAGUUGAAGAGACGGAGCCGUAGGGAAACCGAGUCUGAAUAGGGCGCCUUAGUAUCAUGACGUAGACCCGAAACCAUGUGACCUACCCAUGAGCAGGUUGAAGGUGCGGUAAGACGCACUGGAGGACCGAACCAGGGCACGUUGAAAAGUGCUUGGAUGACUUGUGGGUAGCGGAGAAAUUCCAAACGAACUUGGAGAUAGCUGGUUCUCUCCGAAAUAGCUUUAGGGCUAGCGUCGACAUUAGAGAUUCUUGGAGGUAGAGCACUGUUUGGGUGAGGGGUCCAUCCCGGAUUACCAAUCUCAGAUAAACUCCGAAUGCCAAUGAAUUAUGGUCGGCAGUCAGACUGCGAGUGCUAAGAUCCGUAGUCGAAAGGGAAACAGCCCAGACCACCAGCUAAGGUCCCAAAAUAAUUGUUAAGUGGAAAAGGAUGUGGGGUUGCACAGACAACUAGGAUGUUAGCUUAGAAGCAGCUAUUCAUUCAAAGAGUGCGUAAUAGCUCACUAGUCGAGUGACCCUGCGCCGAAAAUGUACCGGGGCUAAAACAAUUUACCGAAGCUGUGGAUACCUUUAUAGGUAUGGUAGGAGAGCGUUCUAUGUGUGAUGAAGGUAUACCGUGAGGAGUGCUGGAACGCAUAGAAGUGAGAAUGCCGGUAUGAGUAGCGAAAGACAGGUGAGAAUCCUGUCCACCGUAAGACUAAGGUUUCCAGGGGAAGGCUCGUCCGCCCUGGGUUAGUCGGGACCUAAGGAGAGACCGAAAGGUGUAUCCGAUGGACAACAGGUUGAUAUUCCUGUACUAGAGUAUGUAGUGAUGGAGGGACGCAGUAGGCUAACUAAAGCAGACGAUUGGAAGAGUCUGUCUAAGCAGUGAGGUGUGAAUUGAGUCAAAUGCUUAAUUCUAUAACAUUGAGCUGUGAUGGGGAGCGAAGUUUAGUAGCGAAGUUAGUGACGUCACACUGCCAAGAAAAGCUUCUAGCGUUUAAACAUACUCUACCCGUACCGCAAACCGACACAGGUAGUCGAGGCGAGUAGCCUCAGGUGAGCGAGAGAACUCUCGUUAAGGAACUCGGCAAAAUGACCCCGUAACUUCGGGAAAAGGGGUGCUGACUUUAAGUCAGCCGCAGUGAAUAGGCCCAAGCAACUGUUUAUCAAAAACACAGCUCUCUGCUAAAUCGUAAGAUGAUGUAUAGGGGGUGACGCCUGCCCGGUGCUGGAAGGUUAAGAGGAGUGCUUAGCGUAAGCGAAGGUAUGAAUUGAAGCCCCAGUAAACGGCGGCCGUAACUAUAACGGUCCUAAGGUAGCGAAAUUCCUUGUCGGGUAAGUUCCGACCCGCACGAAAGGCGUAAUGAUUUGGGCACUGUCUCAACGAGAGACUCGGUGAAAUUUUAGUACCUGUGAAGAUGCAGGUUACCCGCGACAGGACGGAAAGACCCCAUGGAGCUUUACUGCAGUUUGAUAUUGAGUGUCUGUACCACAUGUACAGGAUAGGUAGGAGUCUAAGAGAUCGGGACGCCAGUUUCGAAGGAGACGCUGUUGGGAUACUACCCUUGUGUUAUGGCCACUCUAACCCAGAUAGGUGAUCCCUAUCGGAGACAGUGUCUGACGGGCAGUUUGACUGGGGCGGUCGCCUCCUAAAAGGGAACGGAGGCGCCC
RNAcentral lists this ribosomal RNA (2285 nucleotides) under Streptococcus pneumoniae. RNAcentral describes it as "bacterial LSU rRNA". It matches the Rfam family "Bacterial large subunit ribosomal RNA", at positions 3 to 2311 of the family's 2925-position model. Lineage: Bacteria; Bacillati; Bacillota; Bacilli; Lactobacillales; Streptococcaceae. The record is from RNAcentral.